CCCAGACUCCUACGGGAGGCAGCAGUGGGGAAUAUUGCACAAUGGGGGAAACCCUGAUGCAGCGACGCCGCGUGAGUGAAGAAGUAUUUCGGUAUGUAAAGCUCUAUCAGCAGGGAAGAUAAUGACGGUACCUGAGUAAGAAGCCCCGGCUAACUACGUGCCAGCAGCCGCGGUAAUACGUAGGGGGCAAGCGUUAUCCGGAUUUACUGGGUGUAAAGGGAGCGUAGACGGCAUGGCAAGUCUGAAGUGAAAGCCCGGGGCUCAACCGCGGGACUGCUUUGGAAACUGUUAAGCUGGAGUGCAGGAGAGGUAAGUGGAAUUCCUAGUGUAGCGGUGAAAUGCGUAGAUAUUAGGAGGAACACCAGUGGCGAAGGCGGCUUACUGGACUGUAACUGACGUUGAGGCUCGAAAGCGUGGGGAGCAAACAGGAUUAGAUACCCGAGUAC
Molecule: ribosomal RNA, 446 nt
Filed under: uncultured bacterium
Lineage: Bacteria
Description: bacterial SSU rRNA
Rfam family: Bacterial small subunit ribosomal RNA
Source: RNAcentral